This 420-nucleotide ribosomal RNA is filed under the name uncultured bacterium. Its description in RNAcentral is "bacterial SSU rRNA". It matches the Rfam family "Bacterial small subunit ribosomal RNA", at positions 355 to 775 of the family's 1533-position model. The record is from RNAcentral.
UAGGGAAUCUUGGACAAUGGACGAAAGUCUGAUCCAGCGACGCCGCGUGGGGGACGAAGGCCCUCGGGUUGUAAACCCCUGUUGUUGGGAAAGAAGCCGGGCGCAUAGCCCGGUGACGGUACCCAACGAGGAAGCCCCGGCUAACUACGUGCCAGCAGCCGCGGUAAGACGUAGGGGGCGAGCGUUAUCCGGAUUCACUGGGCGUAAAGGGCGCGCAGGCGGUUACGUAAGUCCGGCGUGAAAUCCCAUGGCUUAACUGUGGAACUGCGUCGGAUACUGCGUUGACUUGAGGAUGGUAGAGGCCAUUAGAACUAGCGGUGUAGCGGUGAAAUGCGCAGAUAUCGCUAGGAAUGCCGGUGGCGAAGGCGGAUGGCUGGGCCACUCCUGACGCUGAGGCGCGAAAGCUAGGGGAGCGAACCG